GCGGGUGUGGUUCAAUGGCAGAAUAUAACCUUCCCAAGGUUGAGACGAGGGUUCGAUUCCCUUCACCCGCU
Molecule: transfer RNA, 71 nt
Filed under: bacterium
Lineage: Bacteria
Also listed under: 1 other name
Description: tRNA-Gly
Rfam family: tRNA
About the family: Transfer RNA (tRNA) molecules are approximately 80 nucleotides in length. Their secondary structure includes four short double-helical elements and three loops (D, anti-codon, and T loops).
Source: RNAcentral